AUGGUCUCGUCUUGCCUCGCCUCGCCGGCCACUGCGCGCGGCGGCUCUGCUCUACGUCUGCAGCUUCAGCCGAGGGGGUGCCGCGUGACGUGCUUGGCCGACGCGGGGGGAGCCGGGAGCGGCGGCCGCGCCAAGGCCGUGGGAGGAUUCGCGUGCGGCUUGCUCGCAGCCUGGGCCGUCGCGUCAGCCCCCAGCCCGGUCAUCGCCGCUGGCCAGAGGUUGCCUCCACUGUCAACAGACCCAAAGAGAUGCGAGGCUGCAUUUGUUGGGAACACAAUUGGUCAGGCAAAUGGGGUGUAUGACAAGGUGCUUGAUCUCCGGUUCUGUGAUUUCACAAAUGACAAAGAUAAUCUUAAAGGCAAGACUCUGUCUGCGGCUUUGAUGUCAGGCGCAAAGUUUGAUGGUGCUGACUUGACAGAAGUUGUCAUGUCCAAGGCCUAUGCUGUUGGUGCAAGUUUCAAAGGCACGAACUUCACGAAUGCAGUGAUAGACCGUGCCAAUUUUGGAAAAGCCGACCUCGAAGGUGCAAUCUUCAAGAACACCGUCUUGUCGGGAUCAACCUUCGAUGAAGCUAAUAUGAAGGACGUCGAUUUCGAGGACACACUCAUUGGCUACAUUGACCUUCAGAAGCUUUGCAGAAACACCAGCAUCAAUGAAGACACAAGAUUGGAGCUGGGAUGCAGAUGA
Molecule: ribosomal RNA, 687 nt
Filed under: Triticum aestivum (bread wheat)
Lineage: Eukaryota; Viridiplantae; Streptophyta; Magnoliopsida; Poales; Poaceae
Description: partial small subunit ribosomal RNA
Source: RNAcentral